GACGAACGCUGGCGGCGUGCUUAACACAUGCAAGUCGAACGGUAAGGCCCUUCGGGGUACACGAGUGGCGAACGGGUGAGUAACACGUGGGUGAUCUGCCCUGCACUUCGGGAUAAGCCUGGGAAACUGGGUCUAAUACCGGAUAGGACUCCGGACUGCAUGGUCUGGGGUGGAAAGCUUUUGCGGUGUGGGAUGGGCCCGCGGCCUAUCAGCUUGUUGGUGGGGUGAUGGCCUACCAAGGCGACGAGGGGUAGCCGGCCUGAGAAGGUGACCGGCCAAACUGGGACUGAGAUACGGCCCAGACUCCUACGGGAGGCAGCAGUGGGGAAUAUUGCACAAUGGGCGCAAGCCUGAUGCAGCGACGCCGCGUGAGGGAUGACGGCCUUCGGGUUGUAAACCUCUUUCAGCAUCGACGAAGCGAAAGUGACGGUAGGUGCAGAAGAAGGACCGGCCAACUACGUGCCAGCAGCCGCAGUAA
Molecule: ribosomal RNA, 478 nt
Filed under: uncultured bacterium
Lineage: Bacteria
Description: partial 16S ribosomal RNA
Rfam family: Bacterial small subunit ribosomal RNA
Source: RNAcentral